This 253-nucleotide ribosomal RNA is filed under the name uncultured bacterium. Its description in RNAcentral is "partial 16S ribosomal RNA". It matches the Rfam family "Bacterial small subunit ribosomal RNA", at positions 524 to 776 of the family's 1533-position model. The record is from RNAcentral.
UACGGGGGGGGCAAGCGUUGUUCGGAAUUACUGGGCGUAAAGGGCGCGUAGGCGGCCUGCUAAGUCGGAUGUGAAAUCCCUCGGCUCAACCGAGGAACUGCAUCCGAUACUGGCGGGCUUGAAUCCGGGAGAGGGAUGUGGAAUUCCAGGUGUAGCGGUGAAAUGCGCAGAUAUCUGGAGGAACACCGGUGGCGAAGGCGGCAUCCUGGACCGGUAUUGACGCUGAGGCGCGAAAGCUAGGGGAGCAAACGGG